Molecule: long non-coding RNA, 4778 nt
Organism: Equus caballus (horse)
Lineage: Eukaryota; Metazoa; Chordata; Mammalia; Perissodactyla; Equidae
Source: Ensembl
AGGGGCUCUGCCUGAGGACAGUACCCUUCACUCCCCUUUCUGCCAUUCAGUCCCUCUUACCUGACAGAUGAGGAUCAGGUGGUGCGUGCCCAACCAACAGUGCACAGCCUUUGGAGCUGGAAGAUCGGACUAGCAGAACUCUACAGUGACGUGCUCAUUAGGGGUCUGAUCUUGGAGUUCUCUAUGCCUCGAUUUCCUCACCUGUAAAAUGAGGACGAUGAUGACAGCAGCUUGUUGGGAAGAUUCAAUGUGUCCAUGAAUGUAAAGCAUUUGGAACAGAGACUGACGUAUGUCCCAUGAGGAAAAUCAAUUCUUCGUGAGCAAAAAUUGGUGCUGAACAAAACUACAUUUAUGCUUGUCAUCUUGAGAAAGAGGAAUUACACUCGGAGCUUUCGCCAUGGAAACAGCAUAUGAUUUUUUUCAUCAUUUUAAGUGUGUAUAUGUGUGUGUGUGUAUGUAAACACAUUGAACCCACUUUGUUGAGCACCUACCUUAGGCCUGGCAUUUUUCUAGGCAUGAGGGUAGAUGGAGAUCAAGACGGAUUAGGUCCCUGUUCUCAAGGAUUUCUUGUUCAUGAAAAGCCAAUUGUUAUUUUUUGUUCGUUUAUUUGUUUGCUGUUUCAGAAGGAAAAGUUCAACCCUUGGCAGGGUGUCAAGAGGCCAACAUCCCAGGACAGAAUAGAAACCUAAAGUUUGUAUUUUUGAUACCCCAAGUGCUCUUUUGAAGGAAUUCGAGAAAUGUCUGGUCUCUGGGAAGUUGUGGAAGGGGCAGAAGGAGAACAGAGUCCAAGCGCCAGAGAGCACAGGUGUGGACAGUUGUCCCAGGGAGGUGAUGCUGCACAGAAAGUGUUGGGGGCAUGGACCGUAGCAGGACCACAGCAGGGACAGCGCUGUGUCAGAAGCCCUGCCCAACCAGGCUCCUCUCCUGGCUGUCCAGCCUUCGGCAGCGAGGUCGAGGUGGUAGAUCGCAAGGCCCCAGGGCCCGCCCAGCUGAAAGUUCUGCCCUCCCAGGGAUGGGAAUUGACUCCUCUACACCUGCAGGAGCAAAGUACGGUUCUGCCACUGUCUGGUUGUCUGGCGCUCACCUCUCACCUCUGUGUCACAAGCCAGGUCACCAUAAGCCCAGGGAGGACUUCCCCUUUCCUUGGGAAUUACCAGUUCCGUGAAACUAAUUAUCGUAAACCAUAUGUACAGACUUAGUGUGUGAGCAGAGGCCUUCACCAGACUAUCUUUUAACAUUAAAACUCAUCUUCAAGUGCUCACUGUGUUCCAACCACACUUGUCUUUUUCUCCUGUUCUUCAAAUAUACCUUAUUUCUGUUUCAGGGUCUUAGCACAUGUUCCCUCUGCCUGGAGUCCUUAUGCCCAGAUCAUCACAUGGCAGGCUUCAUACUGUUCAGGCUUCAGCCUAAAUGUCACCUCCUCAGAGAGGCCUUCCCUGACCACCCUAUUUCAUGUCGAUUGCCCUACUUGCAGCCCAGACAGUGUCUAAUAUAUUACCUGAUUCCUUCCCUCCCCCUUUCUCUCCCUCCUUCCCUUCUGUUCUUCUAUUUUCUUGGUCAUCGGGUGAAAAGUGUUGAGUCAAUCAUACACCUUAGUUCAUGGUGUACUGUUAUCACUCUUCUUCCAUGGAUAUUUCUCCCGUUCAUCCCUGGUUUCCAUUUCCAUUCCUUCUGCUUCCACAUAUGCAUCCACUAUAAGCUAUUAGAUAUAUAUCCUUUGGUAUAAAUGCAAUGUUGUAAAAUGUCAGGUGUUGUUUUGUAUAUGUUUUAAAUUUUUAUUAAUAGUAUUGUGCAAUAGACCUUGUUCUAUUUCUUAUGCUUUGCACUCAACAGUGGGUUUUAAAGAUCCACCUAUAUUUGCUAUAUGUACCUCUGGUUCACUGCUUCCAACUGAUCCCCAGCAUUCGGUAGUGUGCAUUCAUCCCCUCAGGAUGCAUCCAGCUCCCAGAUUCCAUAUACAGCUCUACAGCGAGCAUCCUCAUCUUUACUCCUUUAUGGACCUGGGUGAGAACUGAUCUGGAUAUAUACCCAUGGAAAGGAUUGCUGGGCCAUAUGUAUAUGCAUAUUUAUAUACACGGAGAAGAACCACAAGUCUGUGAACUAGCUGCAGAGUCUCGCUUCUCAGAACCUGGAGUCUUGAUUUUUAAGAGCAAUUUUUAUAUCUUAAGUAAAUCAAAUUAAUUCCCAGAAGAACUGAUACAAAUACUUGUUUAAAACAGCCACAAAAUCUCAGAGGCAUAUGACAACAAAAUAUUCAUAUAGCUCAAGAAACUAGGGGUUGAGCAUCAAGGCUUCUGAAGCCUGGGCUUGGAGCUGGCACACUUUCUUUCACUCUUAUCUCAUUCUGUUGGCCAAACUCUAAGUCGAAGGACUCAACUUUACGAGAGUAAGUGCAAUGUCAUGUUGCAAAGAAGGAAAAUACGAGGAGGAGUGAAGGUCGGGUCUUCGAGGCACUCUACCACACCAAUGGUGUAAAAUUUAGAUGAUGAAUAGCCAUCUGCAAAACAGAAAGAGUGUCUUCACCAGACACCAGAUCUUCCAGUGUCUUGAUCUUGGACUUCCCAGCCUUCAGAACUGUGAGAAAUAAAUGUUUGUUGUUUAAGCCACCCAUUCUCGGAUGUUUUUGUUAUGGCAGACCAAAUUAAGACAGGGAGCCUAUUCCUGAUUCAUGUGUGCCCAUGCGCAUGCCUGGACGAUCGAGGUCAGAGCAUUCCUCUGGCCACAGCGACGGAUUCAGAGAUGGGCAUUUGAUCCAAUUAGAGGCAGUGAGUGCAAAAUCUCUGAACUUUUGUUGAUUCUGUUCAAAGAGAAACAUACUCUACUUUUCUCCCAGGUUUGGAACUCUGAAGCUGUGAGCCAGGAGCUGUGGUGCCCAUCUUGCCGUCACAAGGAGAGACUUGCCCAAGAACGGACCAAUAUAGAGAAAAACAGAGCCAAGACAAAGCAAAACCAGCUCUCAAGACUCUUCUCUUAUCAUGAAAAUGGAAAAGUAGGCCAAUGGUUGGGAUAUUGACCCCAGGUGGUCUUUGGAACACAGAGGACUGUGCUCCAUCCAAACGACACAGAAUAUAUUGUCUUCAGACAGCCAAGAUUCCCGCAGAAGCUGGAGCAGCAGACCACUUGGAUCUUCAAAGUGCUGGGAACCUGAGUCAGUUAAGGAAGAUCUCUUGUUCUCUUUUGUACAAUCCAAUAAUGAGUUCUGACUAAUAAAAAUCUCUGCCUUUAUCAUUGACUUCCCCACCUAAUAACAUCUUCAGUGACUAAUCGUCCCGAUUGAUUUGCCCGUUGGUCUAAUUUUCCACCUACUGUUUGCCUGUCUAAGAAAUCUGCUGCAUCUACGCAACCUGACCAGUCAUCAUUCACACCAGCUCAGGUUGCUAUGCCAGCUGUCCUUUGACAAACUUCCCUCCUCCAUCUUCUAUCUUCAGAGUGACCUUCACAGCUCUGCAUAAGUUUCUGUCAUACUUCCAUAUAGAGGGACAGCUAAAUCAAUAUUUUUGAUCUGCUCUGCUGCCAGAAUUCGACGAUCUGUCACAGUUCUUGCCCAAUUCACCCAAUCAAUAUGGUUCAAAUGUUUUUAGCUUUGUUUAAAGUGUUGGGUUAACUGGUUUAGUAACCCACCUCAGAGCUAAACUUUGCAGUAUAACUUAAGCCACAUUUUACUAUACUUUUCCGCAACCCGGAGCACAUACCAUUUUAUGGUUAAUGGUUAAUCUAAUUGCAUUCAUCUUUUGCAACUCUCUUCCAAGAUUUUUCCUUGAUCUUCCACCUGGGAAGGUUUUUACUGAUAAUCAUCCUAUCUUGAAUCAUUGCUUCUAACCGAUAGACCAACCAUCACUUACUCUAAAUGAUAUUGAAUAAGAUGCUAUGGUUCACAUCUGAAUUUAAUCGCUUGUAGAUUUUCAUAAAAUAAACCUCUCACUUCUACAAUUGAGAGUGUUUAUAAGUUGUGUAUGUUAACCAAUUCCCCUUUCACGCUUUUCACAUAAAAUAAAGUAACCUUUUCAAUCAAUUUUCUAUUGUGUCUAUGAUGUUAUCAUUUGGUGGUGUAGGUCAGGGUUGGCAAAUCUUUACUGUAAAGGGCCAGAGAGUAAAUAUUUUAAACUUUGCAGGCCAUACCAUCUCUGUUGCAACUACUCAACUUUGUUGCUGUAACAGUCACAAUUUAUAAAUGAAUGAGCAUGGCUGUGAGCCAAUAUAACUUUACUUAUAGAUAUUGAAAUUUGAAUUUCACAUAAUUUUCACGUGUCAUGAAGUAUUGUUCUUCUUCUCAACCAUUAAAAAUGUAAAAACCAUUCUUAGUUGUGGGCUGUACAAAAACAGGCCAAGGGCUGGACUUGCUCUGUGGCUGUAGUUUUCUGACUACAGUGUAGUUUAUGGCUGGGAGCACAUCCAGGUUUUGUGGGGAGGGAACCUUUUACAAUUUGUGGGGCCUCUCUUUAAGAAAAAGAAUACAAAAUUACAAAUACAAAAUUAGGUGCAAGGCUUUGGGAGGGACCCAUACAGAUGAGAGGCCCUUGAAAAUGGAGCCUCUUUAGUGUCCUGGGGGUCUGCUUCCGGUGACACUUGGACCAUUCUCCUGCAGAGGUUCCCAGACCUGGCUGAUUAUUGGAGACACCAAGAAGGCUUUCCCAAUGACAGGUUCCAAAGCCCUGAAGGAAAGCCCCGACACGUUGCCCGAAUUAGAAUCUCUGAGCAUCGACCCUAAGAAUCAGCUGUGUUGUAAAGCUCCCUAGGGAAUUCUACUAUGCAGCCAUGUGUGCAAGCCACUCUUUUAC